CGCAGGACUAAGCCAGAAGGAGAACAUGCCACAUGGAAAGCUUUAUCUGUUUCUUCCCAACGCUCAUCUGACAGAGAUGUCACAAGCUUAUCCAGAAAAUUGGUAAGUUAUUUCCUCGGCCUGUUCCACGAACGCCUGCCGACUCAAUCAACAGUUUUGGCCGCACAGAUUCUUGCAUUGGCAUCAGGCGCCUCUUGUGUUCAGCUGCUUCUGCAUCCAGUGAUAAAUGUUCCCGGCCUUCAUGGAAUUCCAUCAAUCCAGCUCGGUCAUUUCCUCAGUGUCUAAUGAGAUGGCGGUCCUUCCAUGAGCUCACCUCUCGUGUCUGUCCCGGACUGACCUCGUUCAUGUCAUGCAAACAACAGCACAUUAAUCCGGCUAAGUCCUCGCUAAGGGGGAAAUCCCCCCCCCCACCUCCACCAACACCGCCACUACCUCCUCCUCCCUCUCCUCCUCGCCUGAGUCUGCUCCUCGUACACAUGUGGCCACUUGCAUCCCCAUCACGCUAAUCAGAGCCAGAGAACAAAGGUGAGCCAAGACUGAAUAAGCUGCGGCCAAAAACAACCCAGACAAACCGGUAAACAGACCAACAGAAACAUCCUCAGCGCCAUCUCAGCCAGCCAGGAGGUAACCACCGGACAUCGCCAGUUAGAGAUGGUUAAAAUGAGAGCGUUGUCGCCUGCCAGACCACCGUGCGAGGCAGAAGAGAUAACUUGGGGAGGCUGUCACCUUCCCAAGUGAUUGUUGUUUGUGAGUGAAAAGCCUGAGAAAAGGACAAGGUGUGUUUCACUUUGGCUGUGAGAUACCAAAUGGACAUGUGGCUAAUUUGGUAUGAGUAAGCACUAUUUUCUAUAAUAUGCACCCCGACACUGCAAUUAAGUCUUGGAAAUGCUCCUUUCACACGCUGUUCAUUGUGUUUGAAAGGGGAAAAGAGACAAACCCACCGACAAUUAUCACCUCACUCCUACCCUCAGUUCUACAGAGUCUUUCAGCAUCUUUCAGCUCCUUGUUUUGGUUCUCCAGCCCUCAAGUUUGCUAUUUAUUCACUCGUGUCAGCACUGUUUCCAGCUACGGCAGCAGGCUCUCUGAUAAAACCACUGAAAGCUGUCUUAGUAGCUCAAACCUCAGACAAAGUUAGCAACUAGCUGGUGUAAUAGAUAGAAAUUCCUCUUAGGAGUUGGCACAGACCAGAAGUUGAGUCAGCAUUGGAGUUGCAUUCAUCAGGUGGCCUCAAAUGACUCCAAACAAAAUCUAAUGUUGUUCAUUUUCUUGUGGAUGUGUAUAAAGGUAAUUGUUUGCUAAUA
This is a long non-coding RNA of Acanthopagrus latus (yellowfin seabream), 1301 nucleotides long. RefSeq lists it as uncharacterized. The transcript has 5 exons. The record is from RefSeq and is a predicted model, not a curated record. NCBI's taxonomy places the organism in Eukaryota, Metazoa, Chordata, Actinopteri, Spariformes, Sparidae.